AAAAUAAUCUAGGUGUCAGUUCUUAAUUGAAUAGUUUAGUCUUAAAAGACCUUGUAACAAGAGAUUGUUACCCAUUUUUUGCCUUGCUGCCAAACUCAUGGUUGUGAGACUUUUUUACUGAUAAGAAAUAACAAACACCUGAGUCCGAACAUGAAACUACUGUCUCAAGUGCCUUCAAUCCAGACCCAGAGAAACCGAUAGCUAUCUGUAAGAUUGCAAUACAACAGCUACCUACCUGGGGAAGGGUACACCCUUUACAGUGGCUGUACAUAAACCCCAGUGACAAGACCUGAUGAUCAAACUAACUCGAGGAUUAUAGCCAUUUGUGCAAAUAAAUUCCACCCUUUUUACAGGGCUUAUUCCAAGAUCUUUGUUUUCCAUGUAUGGUACUUUUCUAUAUAUCCAUGAUUAUCCACUGACCCCUCUAUAAAAUAUACUAUGUGGGUAGAUCAUCUUCCUUCUGUUUUAAGAAACAUAUGCUUAGAACAUUUAAUUUUUUACUGCAGCAUAAAUAUGGUAAAGCAUCUGUAAACCUCUACAUGUACUCUGAAGCUAACAAAAAUACUAGAUGGCAUGACAGAGGUAUACAACUUGAAUGGAUAUAUUAUUUUACACAACCUCCAUCUUCACCUAUUCAAGUGAAGAAAAAAAGUGAAAAUAUAUAUCAGCAUGAUAUUAAUGCUGAAAUUUUGCACGCAUCAAGUCAGGAAGCUGCAUGUUACAGUUUCCAUAGCAACCAUAAUUCAAUCUCCUUUUGAAUUUGUGGUAAUUUUUAGCAAUGUAUUUGAUAUAAUUGUCAUAUGGGUAACACUUCUCUUGAAAAAAUGGUGUAAUUUCACAUUGGAUUAUCUUUACACGUAGGCAUAGCUCUGCAGUCCCUGCUAGCACAAAACUCACAGAGGUGUUCUUUAUGCUUGUAUCAGUUCACCUUGUGUGUGUUGGUAAAAGGUGAAAUGUCAGGUGGGUCUCAUAUGGGAUAUAGGAAUGUUGGUGAUGUGCACAAGAUAUAAAAUAUUUCAAAAUUCUGAUCUCCUGAAGAUCUCACCCUGGACAACAAUUCUACUGAUUUUUGUGACAACACCUACUAAUCUGAAUGCAUACUCACAUCACUCUGGCUUGCAUAUUUAAUCUUUUGUAAUUUCAUGAAAAUAUAGCUUAGCACACAAUUAUUUUGAAAUGAAUUCUAAAGGAAUUUUUGUACCUUUAAAUUAUUACCUAAAUGAUGUAGCAUGUGAACAAUUCUCCUAAAUAAAGCCAAUGUUCACCAAAAUGAUAAUUCAAUAAAAGCUUUUCAUUGCAAGAAAGGGAGCAGAAGAUUCAGUAGCACAUGAGACACUGUCUUCCCUCAGCAGCUAUUAGUGCUGCUUUUUAAAACUCAGUAAAUUUACUGGUUUAUCACAUGCUAAAUAUAUAUAUGGAUAUAUAAAAAUAGCCCAAAGCACAAGUUCCAUUCCAUGCUAAAAUAAUAUUUUUACAGAUACAUUUUUAUAGGAAUAUUCCUAUUGCUUCUGAAUCCAAAAUGGAUGGCCUGAAGUUGCGUCAGGGGAGGUUUAGUUUGGAUAUCAGAAAAAGGUUCUUAACCCAGAGGGUGGUCGUGCACUGGAACAGCUCCCCAGGGCAGUGGUCACAGCACAGCCUGACAGAGUUUAAGAAGUGUUUUGACAAUGCUCUUGAGAACCUGGUGUGACUCUUGGGGCUCUCUCUGCAGGGCUAACGAAGAUUCAAUGAUCCUUGUGAGUACCCUCCAACUUGGCAUGUUCUGUGAUUCUGUGAUACUGCAGCCCAAAAAAUAUGGUAUUGCCAUUACUUGUAACAGGCAAAAAGAUUUGCAUUAAUAAUUUGCAAAACAGAGUUCUCAGGACACUUCAUAUUAUCUCAAUUUCUCUUGUUUUAGCUUGCUUUAGCUUUAACACAUAUAUGUGUAAAAGAAUUAUCUGUUACUACUGCCUAAUUUGGUUUUAGCUUUAGUGUAAUCAGAAGUGGCCUUGGAAUGAUAAAGUUGUGCACUGACCCAUAAGCACAGGCUGACAGCAGAGACCUUGAGGGUAGAGGAACAGAUUUAUUCUAGAGAUCAAGAGGGUUGAAAGACAUAAUUAGUUACUUAUCACUAAUCAGUUACUGAUUACUAUAAAUGCACCUUGAGAGAUAAUAAAAUAAAAAUUCUGGGGAUAAACCCCAAAAAUUUUAGGCCAAUAAGACCAUAAAAAACCCCACAAAAACCCCCAUGGACAAAAAAAUCCCCAAGAACAGAAGAAGUGUCUGUUAUCAAUACCAUAAACCUCCUGGUGAAGAAUUGUGGAUUUAAAACACUACUAAAUAAUAGGAUGUACUUUGGGCUACUUUUACAUACUUUAAUAUAUAGUGAGUGAGAAAACAGUAAAGUUACUGAGUUUUGAAAAGCACUUAGUUUAUAAUAGCCAGUGAGACAAGACAGCAUCUCAUGAAUAGCUGAACCUUUUGCUUUUCUUGGAAAGAAAAAACUUUCUAUUAUUAAUCAGGCUCUUUUGGUAAUAAAUAGAUAAUGUUGACUAUGACUCUUAGCUUGAUUGUAACUGGUAUAUCAGUAUCAACAAGACUAGUAAUCCCAGGUUACAAAUAAGAGUAACUUACAGUAAUAACUGUGCAGAGUAGCAAAACACUAUUGGACCAGUAUUUUUUCCCAUUAUUUAUAUGUCUGGAUUAGAUCAUAAGUCUGAGGCAGAGAGUCCAGCCUUUCCAGAGAAAUUUAAAUGUCUUUUCUGACACCAUGAAAAUCUCAGGUUCAGCCACCAUAUGUGUUAAAGGCAGAAGUGUAGUUUUUCCUUUAUUCCUUUUGCAAGUGUUUGGUUUAAAACAAAAAAGGGGAAAUAAAAAUCCAUUAAAACAGUUUUCUGUGAUUAAAUAUUAUUUUUCAUAUAUCCCAGAAACUGGACUACCAACUGGAUAUCCCAUAACCGGCGUGGAAUUGCACUAAGGUUGCUCAAAUAUAGAAUAUACUUCAGAUUUUUUUGUUUUGAAUUAGAUUUUCAUUUACAGAUUUUCUGGAUCUGAGGUCUCAGUUAGAAAAAUUAUUAAUAAAAGAAUCCAAAUUCUUUUCUAUAUAUGUUUAUAAGAAGGAAUCCUGAGAGGCUCACAUGGUGUUAAACCUAAGCCAUAUUUAUUCUGUUAACACCUUGGACUGAAGCAGUUUGAUUUUCUGAUCUCUGAAUCUUUCAAAUCUAUAACCAUCUGAAAGAUCAACAUGCAAAAGUUUUAUGCUUAAAAGGGAACAAAUAUAUGCACGACUGAGAAAAGUAAAAGGACAGUUUGAGUCAUUUCAUGAUGUGUUAAGCAUUUUUCUUUUUGAGUUUUAUUGGUUUAUAAAUAGGUCAACAUGUUCUAGAAGCAGCUGAAGAAUUCUGGAAGAAUGUAGGCAGAAUUUACACAGAGUCAACUUUUAAGAGGAGGAUAAAAAUAAUAUUGCACCUGAUUAAAAGCACAUUCAGAUUUGCAGGGCAAUCUCAUUAUCAAAAAUGUUGCAGAAAGGGGAAAAUAUAUACUUCCACAUUGAAAAGAUGUGAUAAAGAAGACAAGGAAGACAAAUUCUAGAACUAGAUAUGGGAACAGAAUUCAGAGGACCUUGGAUCUUUUCGGCCUCCUACUGGAGACUCAUGGCAAAAGUCAAUCCUAAGAGUACAUCCACAGACUCCUAAUUUGUUCCUAUUUUAUCUUCAGCAUUAGCAGGAGAAAUAUUUGUGUGGCAGAUGGAAUAGAGAAUGUACUUGGGAUGUGGAACACCCUUCAGAUAUUUCGGUAUGCCUCUCUAGCAAAAGGCAUCAUUCCUCUAGCUCAGAGGAAUGCUGUGGAGAAUUCUUCAGUGCUUCAGAGGUACAACACCAUCUCUCACCAGGGUACUUCAUGUAGAUUACUUCUACAGGUGUUACUUCAUGUAACGCCUGCUAGCGUUUGCUUGCUCUGAAAUAUAAAUCACCUUAGGUUACACCAAAAUAAUUAAAUGUGAGUGCUGUGUGUACAGCCCUAGCUCUGGUUUCAGAGUUGUUUAGAGGAAGGAUUUGGUCCAAAUAUACAGUUCCAAGGUGAAUGUAUAAGAUGAUUCUGCCAUAUAUUUCAACACUAAAUUGCAAAGCCUUUGGUUUCAAGCCCAGAAAGUAUUUCUGAAUUCUGCAACUUAACAGAUAUCCUUACUACAGCAGAUUUUUUUGUCUGAAACAAUGCAGAAAAACUUUUCUCUGCAGAAAAUUUCACAAGAUUUCCAAAUUAUUUUGGCAGGCAUUCUUUUAGUAACUUGCAGUAAGAAGAAGAAAAUCCAAGUUUUUACUUCAUAAAGUUUGCCUGGGGUUUCUUCCUUGUGCCUAUCAAGUCUAAGAACAUGAAACUGUAGACUGGUGCAAGAAAACAUGGUGACAGCAUUGCUGUUUUGCAUUUAUUUGAAAAUGUUCAGGGCAGCAUAACAGACACUUUCUCAAUAUAAGCAGAUCUUUAUUUUUCAUGUAACACCAACUCUUGAAGAAAUGAGAAAGUGGUUGGUCCUUUAGGGCAAGUCUACUGAGUCAAUAUUGUAAAUUUUGCAAGGGUCCUUUUUAAAGAUAUUCAGAAGUUGGAAUACUGAUAAGGAAUAAAAGCUUACUCAAUGUGAUCAGUAAACUCAAAAGAAACACUGAACAGGGACAGCUCUACAGUCUGUGAAGUAUUAAAGUAACAAACUAGAGUUUUUCCUAGCUAAAAAUCAUCAAAAUUACAAUUGCUGUUUCACCCAGAACUGCCAAUGGGUAAGGCACUUCUUAGCUUCAGCUUUUACUUCCUACUGUAUUAUUUAACAGGGUAUUUGAUCUUCACUUUUCUCAAGCAUUCCCCACUGAAUUUGUCACAUCCAGUUCAGACAUUAAAGAUGAACCAUACGGCCUCUAUUAAAAUUAAAGUACAGCAACCAGCUAAAUCCUCUAACACUGAAAAUUAUACCUGGCAUAAACCUUCAAUCUACUCAAAAAGAAUUCAGUCAAACAACUUAUCUUUACAGCAGACCCGAGAAAUGACAUGACUGCUAUUACAUCAUUUUUCCAAGGAGUUAUAAAGACAUUGCAUAAGACCAUAUGCAUAUUUGCCUUAAAGUCUAUAACAUAAUCUAGUUAUAAAUCUUCAAGGCAACAGUCAUGUCUACAGCUAUUGAAUGUAAGGCAAAAUUUGGGGAAGACUUAUUUUAAUUUUUUUUCCAUACAUAAAACCCACGGCCUCUGGGAUGUGAAAUUAUUUCUAUUUACCUGUACUGUAGCCAAGCUUACACUUUUUGUUAUUCAGACAACAUAUUAGGAAUCAACUAAUCUGUUUAUCUUGGAAGGUAAAAGCAAAAUGUCACAUUCCCUCUUUCUCAUCUAUCUCUCUCCUCUACAAUUCUUUACAUGUAAUGCAACCAUUUUUAAAGCACAGUUCAAUAAGGAACCUUUCCAUUAGGUAAUUCUGAGUGUUAUUACAUUUGGCAUUAUGCAGGACUAAUAGAGUAGUAUCUUGCCCACAAAAAUAUCAUCUAAUGCAGACUGCAGUCAUAAUAAGUCAGCAUGUAAAGAAUAUCCAUUUUAUAGCUAUGACUUGCAUUCCCUCCUCCCUCUCCCCCUUAUGAGUGUAGCUUCCUUUUCUGAGGAAUGAUUGCUGAAAUGAUUUUGAGAAGGGCUGUGCAAAUGUACUUGUCAUUUUAAUGUUUUAUCAGAGAAAAAAAAUUAAGGGAAAUGUUUGGGAAAAAAAUUUUCACUGAUGUGUUUACAUUUUCCCCCACAAAUUCUGAUACAUUUAAAAAGUAUUUAAGCAGAAAUAUCUUCCCAUCAUCUCUCCCAAGUAAACAAGUAGGAUGCUGUGAGACACUGCUGAAGAAGCAAGUAGAAAGCUGAAAUAAAUCUACCCCAAGAGCAGGGCAGACUAUAAAACCUCUUAGGCUCUUCUAAAAAAGGUCAAGAAUCCUUUCAAAAGACCAUAAGUCACAGACUGAAGAUUUGUUCUGCCCAUUAUUAUAAUUUUUAUAUUAACAAAGUGGACUCUCAGCUCAGUGCUAUUUCUUGCACAUCCUACUUUAAGGUUACCUCACCAAAUUUUAGAAACACACCUUUUCCACUGAGAAGAAUAUUAUAAAACCUUUUUCAGAUGUGGCCCCGAAAUGUAGAUUGCACAGAACUGUGCAUUUAGACAGUGUAUAUAACCAUUAGGCAUUAUAGAACUGGUGUCUAUGUAGAACUGCAUCCAGUCAUGACCUUAUUAGAGUCUGAGAGCAUCUUGUUCUGCCAAUGUCAAGUCAAAUUUUAGUUCAGGAUAACAGCUACGGUAUUACUGGUGAUGCAGAAAGUACUGCAUUCUAGAAUCCUAAUGUUUCAUGCAUUAUGGUUCUAAAACAUGUUAUACUCAUGUUCAGUAUUAUCUGUUUGCUUCCGCAAGUACUGACACACCCAACUUCAAGGAAAGCACACACAAAAUUUAUCUUAUUUCAAUGUUUCCUAUAUUUUCUAAAGCAGCUGCUGCUGUAGAGUAUCAGUACUCCUGUUUUGACUAAACACUGUCAAUUCUGAAUAAUUUAAUUGUGUAUUGUACCAUCAGAAAGCUACAAAGCUUCAGGAGAUAAUUAACUUCAUGAAGAAGUUUCUUUUCAUUUUAUCCUUCAGUGCCCAUAUAAAAAUUGAUUUUUACAGGUGAUAAAUGUUUUUAUAGGUAAAAUAAUAUAAAGACAUCUCUUACCAAGCUAGUUUUUUCUGCAUUUCAUCCAAAAUUUUAUUGCCGGGGAUGAUUAAAUGCUCCAGACAUGGUAUCAAGUUUGGAGAUGAUGAAAAGAGAAACAAUACCAAAAGGCAAGCCAAUAAUAAAACUCAUACAGACUUUUUUCUUUCCUGAAGUUGUGCCACUGUACAGCAAUUGGGAUCACUGGUUUUAAAGGAAUUCUUGCAAUUUUACUUCUAACCCAUAAAGAAAGCGAAUACUAUUAAUGUACAUUGUUUCAUACACAUGUGCCAUAUAAUUUAAUCAGCAAGAUUUUAGGCAGAAAGAUAUUUUGUUUGUUAUUUUCCUACAGCUGGCUAAUUAGAAUACAAACUACUCCUCACUCAGCCGGGAGGUUUACCUUUUUGUAUUGUUAAAUUAAUCUGAAGACAUAAGGCUUUCAGUCAUGCCCAGACACACAAUCAGCGACAUACAAGCUGACAGUGCUGUUUCACACAAAUCUGCUCUGAAGCAGUACCGUUUUGCGCUAUGCCUGCAUCUUCUGUUCUCUCUCACUGAGAAAGACAGCCUUGCCUUGUUGAUUCCUGCAACCUUCCAUCGCUACAGAAACAGUAUUUGGGAAACCACUGACGUUUUAUCUCUCACCCGUUAACCACCCUCAAGUUCAGCCAUCUCAACUUUCAGCGCUCCUAUCCUAAAGGUCCUAACACACACGGAAACCUCCGAGUGUUUAAUCCUGAUUUUGAGCGGCAGCUUCUGACGGGAGGCUUCCUGAGCGGCACCUUCACUUCUCAUCUAGCACCAUCUACUGCCCACGGCGGGCAGGAGCCGCAGCCGCUGCCCAGCCCCGGCCCCGCUGGAGGAGCGCGGAGAGCCGCGGAACUGGCCACGGGCCCUUCCCGCACCGAGCUGGGCACGGGCCCGAAUCCUGACUGAGUUGGGCACGGGCCCUUCCCGCACCGAGCUGGGCACGGCCCUGAAACCUCACCGAGAGGGGCACGGGCCUGAACCUUCACCGAGCUGGGCACGGGCCCGAACCCGCACCAAGCUGGGCACGUCCCCGAACCCUGACUGAGCGGGGCACGGGCACUGCUCCGCACGGAGUCCGCCGGCGCUGCAACACCAGCUCGAACUUUGUGUGGUGAUCCAGAUGCAUACAGAUUCCAAAGACUCUGCUCCGGCAGAGUUAGAAGGACAAAGCACCUGUUCCCCUAGCAGAUUUCUCUGUUCGUACUUGAAGUUGCUGUCAGCUUUGGCCCUGCCUCCCUGGUGCCACAAAGGUGAUUACAACUAUUGAUAUGCAUCCUCCACUCUUUCAAAUGAAGACUAAUGGCUUGAAGCAAUGACUGAUGCCACUUCUUCCAGCAGAAUUAGAGCAGAACAUCACAGGCAGGUCAGUAUGUUUUCUAAAAGGAAGCUUUGAGAGUAUACAUCACAGAAGCUCAGGAUAUAUUGAUUCUGCCUGAAUCAUGUUAACACUCAGCUCUCCUCUAUCCAAAAUCUCUGUUCAAGCACAGUUAAACUCUAAAUUAGGCAACUAAUGACAAACAAAUGAUGAUGGACACUGUGGAAAAGGAAAUAAUAAGUGAAAAACUACACUUGUUCCAACACUGCCAUAUCAGAUGCUUCCUUUCGGUAACUUACAUGAAUAUUUGUUUUUUUCUCCCACAAUAUUGUCACCAUUGACAUAGGCAGUGGUUGCCAAAGGACAAAAAUAGCAACAUAAAGCAAUCUAGAAGAAGUGAUUUCUAGGAAAAGCUUCUAAGAAAGAUAAGCUACCUUAGCAAACUAAAGGAAGAGGAGAUUUCAAACCCAGCACAUUAGGAGAAAGCUGUAAGUUUACUAACUCCUUGUCAAGCAAAAGGGUUGUUUGAGCUGUUACAGAGACCUAACAUGAAAAGAAGAAAAAGGUGAAAACUGAAAUGAAAGCUGUAGCAUAACUCUUUAGAAACCUUUAGAUAGACUUAACUGAAAGGGGUAGAUCUAUAUGGCUGGAUACUCAAGUCUCCUAAGGAAGGAAAUGAAACUGAUGGAAUAGCAGUAGGUUGUAAUUCUUCUUUUCUGCUGGCUUGUAUCUAUUGACUAAAGUAGAUUUGUCCUUCCUAUGGGAAUCUAAAAAGCCUGAACAGCACAAGGAGAAAUUAAGAAGUAGUUGUACUUACAAGCAUUAUAUCUAAUUGCCUGCAAACCUGUCAUUUUUCAUCCACAGUACCUGUAUGGUUUAAGCACACUUAGAACCUCUGGAAAAAAAAAAAAAUGAAGACACUUUAUUUGGUAAAAUGUAAAUUUUCCAAGAGGUGUUUUAGGCAACAGAAAUGGAAAGAAGAAAAGUCAGAUUUACAGCAUCUACAAACCCCUCUUAUCAAUCAUAUUCUUCCUAAUCAUCUGGUGCACUUUCUCAAUAGAAGAAGCUAGACCUCCAAGUUAUGCUAAAUCUAUGUUGAAAAUAUUAGAAGUCUUACCUGAAAAAAAUCCCGAGGAGGUAUUUGGACGUGAAAUGCAUAAAUAUGGUUGCAAAGUCUGUGAGCAGUUACAGAGCUGUUACAGAUGGGUAUUUGAGGAAAGCCAAACACAAUAAAAGCACAUUUAGUGCUCCAAUAGGGAACCUGUUACUUAUAAAGACUAUUAAAAAUUCUUUUCACUGGAAGAGAAUUCAAUGACAAAAAAACAUUUUUUUUACCUUUUCAAGGACCUAGGGACUAAGAGAUAACAGAUUCUUAUAGAAAAACUAUUACAAAGUGCACUAUUUGUUUAACAAAUACCCAUCCUGUAUGACCGCGGUGGCUGGUACAGGAUUUACCAACCCUAGAUUUGCUAUGGCUAAAUCACGUUUACACUCAUUGCUUAAUAUUAACUACUGCUGAGUACCCGUGGGGGUGUGGCAAUUGCAA
This is a non-coding RNA of Zonotrichia albicollis (white-throated sparrow), 9563 nucleotides long. NCBI's taxonomy places the organism in Eukaryota, Metazoa, Chordata, Aves, Passeriformes, Passerellidae. The record is from RefSeq and is a predicted model, not a curated record.